Phrynosoma platyrhinos (Desert horned lizard) is the source of this 71-nucleotide non-coding RNA. Lineage: Eukaryota; Metazoa; Chordata; Lepidosauria; Squamata; Phrynosomatidae. The record is from the annotation of a GenBank genome assembly.
GCCAGCAUGGUGUAGUGGUUUGAGUGUUGGACUAUGAUUCUGGAGACCAGAGUUUGAGUCUCUGCUUGGCC